Molecule: ribosomal RNA, 495 nt
Filed under: uncultured bacterium
Lineage: Bacteria
Description: partial 16S ribosomal RNA
Rfam family: Bacterial small subunit ribosomal RNA
Source: RNAcentral
GAUGAACGCUGGCGGCGUGCCUAAUACAUGCAAGUCGAGCGAACAGACGAGGAGCUUGCUCCUCUGACGUUAGCGGCGGACGGGUGAGUAACACGUGGAUAACCUACCUAUAAGACUGGGAUAACUUCGGGAAACCGGAGCUAAUACCGGAUAAUAUAUUGAACCGCAUGGUUCAAUAGUGAAAGACGGUUUUGCUGUCACUUAUAGAUGGAUCCGCGCCGCAUUAGCUAGUUGGUAAGGUAACGGCUUACCAAGGCGACGAUGCGUAGCCGACCUGAGAGGGUGACGGCCCACCGUGAAAUUGAGACGCGGCCGAGCCCCAAGGGGGGGCCGAGGGGGGGAAUUUUCCGGAAGGGGGCGAAGCCCGGCGGGACCACCGCGGGGUGGGGAAGAAGGGUUUCGGGAUGUAAAACCUUUGUUAUGGGGAAAAAAAAAUUGUGUAAGUAACUAGGCGCUUUUAGGGGGACCAAAAUAAAAAACCCGGGGCAACCUCGG